AGCGAACGCUGGCGGCAGGCUUAAUACAUGCAAGUCGAGCGGGCACUCUCGGGUGUUAGCGGCGGACGGGUGAGUAACGAGUGGGAACGUGCCCUCUGGUUCGGAAUAUAUCAGGGAAACUUGAGCUAAUAACGGAUACGCUCUUUUGGGGAAAGGCUUGCAGCCGGAGGGUCGGCUAGUGUCUGAUUAGCUUGCUGGUGAGGUAACGGCACACCAAGGCGACGUUCAGUAGCUGGGAUGAGAGGAUGAGCAGCCACACUGGGGCUGAGACGCGGCCCAGACUCCUACGGAAUGCGGCAGUGCGUAAUAUAGCACAAUCGGCUCAAGCCUGAUCCAGCCAUGCCCCGUAAGUGAUGAAGUCCUUAGGGAUGUAAAGCUCUUUUAUCCGGGACGAUAAUGACGGUACCGGAUGAAUAAGCCCCGGCUAACUUCGUG
RNAcentral lists this ribosomal RNA (435 nucleotides) under uncultured bacterium. RNAcentral describes it as "partial 16S ribosomal RNA". It matches the Rfam family "Bacterial small subunit ribosomal RNA", at positions 29 to 507 of the family's 1533-position model. The record is from RNAcentral.